AGACUUAUUGGAUUUUUCUGGACAGUUAGACGACCGAUAUCCUGUGGAAAACAACGAGAAAGCAUCAGCUGUAGGGUUGCUUGUAUGAUUGUCAACUUCACACCUAGUAUGAUGACUUCUUGAAGAUGUACAUUCAGGAGAACUUUGGAUUUCCUCGUCAGACAUGAAGGAGAAAAAAGUCAAACAGACCUUAACAGCAAUUGAAUUAAACGUGUAGAUUGAUUGAAUGCAAACCGUCGAAUGAUUUAAUUCCCGCUUAGGUAUGCACGGGUGAAUCCACCCGUGCAAAUUACUACGCAUAACGGUAUUCGUUAAGCCUUAUAACGAAAAGAAAUUUAUGUA
Molecule: long non-coding RNA, 342 nt
Filed under: Mytilus galloprovincialis (Mediterranean mussel)
Lineage: Eukaryota; Metazoa; Mollusca; Bivalvia; Mytilida; Mytilidae
Source: RNAcentral